GACGAACGCUGGCGGCGUGCUUAACACAUGCAAGUCGAACGGAAAGGCCCUGCUUUUGUGGGGUGCUCGAGUGGCGAACGGGUGAGUAACACGUGAGUAAUCUGCCCUUGACUUUGUGAUAACUUCAGGAAACUGGGGCUAAUACCGGAUAGGAGCUCCUGCUUCAUGGUGGGGGUUGGAAAGUUUCGGCGGUUGGGGAUGGACUCGCGGCUUAUCAGCUUGUUGGUGGGGUAGUGGCUUACCAAGGCUUUGCCGGGUAGCCGGCCUGAGAGGGUGACCGGCCAGAUUGGGACUGGAAUACGGCCCGGACUCCUACGGGAGGCAGCAGUGGGGAAUAUUGCACAAUGGGAGGAAGCCUGAUGCAGCAACGCCGCGUGCGGGAUGACGGCCUUCGGGUUGUAAACCGCUUUCGCCUGUGACGAAGCGUGAGUGACGGUAAUGGGUAAAGAAGCACCGGCUAACUACGUG
RNAcentral lists this ribosomal RNA (468 nucleotides) under uncultured bacterium. RNAcentral's name for it is "partial 16S ribosomal RNA". It matches the Rfam family "Bacterial small subunit ribosomal RNA", at positions 28 to 507 of the family's 1533-position model. The record is from RNAcentral.